GGGUGUAUAGCUCAGUGGUAGAGCAUUCGACUGCAUAUCGAGAGGUCCCGGUUCGAACCCGGAUGCUCCCU
RNAcentral lists this transfer RNA (71 nucleotides) under Trichonephila inaurata madagascariensis. It matches the Rfam family "tRNA". Rfam says of the family: Transfer RNA (tRNA) molecules are approximately 80 nucleotides in length. Their secondary structure includes four short double-helical elements and three loops (D, anti-codon, and T loops). The record is from Rfam by way of RNAcentral. Lineage: Eukaryota; Metazoa; Arthropoda; Arachnida; Araneae; Nephilidae.